GCCGUCCGGGUCUGUGGUUGAAAGUCCAAGCCAGCUGUGGGCGAAAGGAUCCACGUAAGCUGCCUGCAAGGAACAGGGCAGUGAUCAUGGCACAGUUUAGAAGUAAGUCCUCCGGAAACCGGAUCAAGGCGAGUGUGGGGUCAAAGACCAGGUCAGCCGGACGGC
Molecule: non-coding RNA, 165 nt
Filed under: unclassified sequences
Description: raiA RNA
Rfam family: raiA RNA
Source: Rfam by way of RNAcentral